Molecule: ribosomal RNA, 460 nt
Filed under: uncultured bacterium
Lineage: Bacteria
Description: partial 16S ribosomal RNA
Rfam family: Bacterial small subunit ribosomal RNA
Source: RNAcentral
CCUACGGGGGGCAGCAGUGAGGAAUAUUGGUCAAUGGGCGGAAGCCUGAACCAGCCAAGUAGCGUGCAGGAUGACGGCCCUACGGGUUGUAAACUGCUUUUAUACGGGAAUAACGCGCCUUACGUGUAGGGCUUUGCAUGUACCGUAUGAAUAAGGAUCGGCUAAUUCCGUGCCAGUAGCCGCGGUAAUACGGAGGGUCCGGGCGUUAUCCGGAUUUAUUGGGUUUAAAGGGAGCGUAGGCGGCAUGUCAAGCGUGCUGUGAAAGGUUCGGGCUCAACCCGGGCCUUGCAGCGGAAACUGGCGUGCUUGAGUCCGCGGAAAGCAGGCGGAAUUCGUGGUGUAGCGGUGAAAUGCUUAGAUAUGACGAAGAACCCCGAUUGCGAAGGCAGCUUGCUGGAGCGGAACUGACGCUGAUGCUCGAAAGCGCGGGUAUCGAACAGGAUUAGAUACCCGGGUAGUC